CCGAGCCGUAUGAGGCAGGAAACUCUCAAGUACGGUUCUAAGGGAAGGAAAUUACCCGCCUAUUCCGAC
Molecule: non-coding RNA, 69 nt
Organism: Triticum urartu
Lineage: Eukaryota; Viridiplantae; Streptophyta; Magnoliopsida; Poales; Poaceae
Source: Rfam